This 1138-nucleotide ribosomal RNA is filed under the name Flavobacterium sp. Its description in RNAcentral is "bacterial SSU rRNA". It matches the Rfam family "Bacterial small subunit ribosomal RNA", at positions 66 to 1214 of the family's 1533-position model. The record is from RNAcentral. Lineage: Bacteria; Pseudomonadati; Bacteroidota; Flavobacteriia; Flavobacteriales; Flavobacteriaceae.
GGUAUAGUUCUUCGGAAUUAGAGACCGGCGCACGGGUGCGUAACGCGUAUGCAAUCUACCUUUUACAGAGGGAUAGCCCAGAGAAAUUUGGAUUAAUACCUCAUAGUAUUAUGAAAUGGCAUCAUUUUAUAAUUAAAGUCACAACGGUAAAAGAUGAGCAUGCGUCCCAUUAGCUAGUUGGUAAGGUAACGGCUUACCAAGGCUACGAUGGGUAGGGGUCCUGAGAGGGAGAUCCCCCACACUGGUACUGAGACACGGACCAGACUCCUACGGGAGGCAGCAGUGAGGAAUAUUGGACAAUGGGCGCAAGCCUGAUCCAGCCAUGCCGCGUGCAGGAUGACGGUCCUAUGGAUUGUAAACUGCUUUUAUACAGGAAGAAACCCUGGUUCGUGAACCAGCUUGACGGUACUGUAAGAAUAAGGAUCGGCUAACUCCGUGCCAGCAGCCGCGGUAAUACGGAGGAUCCAAGCGUUAUCCGGAAUCAUUGGGUUUAAAGGGUCCGUAGGCGGGUUAGUAAGUCAGUGGUGAAAGCCCAUCGCUCAACGGUGGAACGGCCAUUGAUACUGCUAAACUUGNAAUUAUUAGGAAGUAACUAGAAUAUGUAGUGUAGCGGUGAAAUGCUUAGAGAUUACAUGGAAUACCAAUUGCGAAGGCAGGUUACUACUAAUUGAUUGACGCUGAUGGACGAAAGCGUGGGUAGCGAACAGGAUUAGAUACCCUGGUAGUCCACGCCGUAAACGAUGGAUACUAGCUGUUGGGGGCAACUUCAGUGGCUAAGCGAAAGUGAUAAGUAUCCCACCUGGGGAGUACGUUCGCAAGAAUGAAACUCAAAGGAAUUGACGGGGGCCCGCACAAGCGGUGGAGCAUGUGGUUUAAUUCGAUGAUACGCGAGGAACCUUACCAAGGCUUAAAUGUAGUUUGACCGAUUUGGAAACAGAUUUUUCGCAAGACAAAUUACAAGGUGCUGCAUGGUUGUCGUCAGCUCGUGCCGUGAGGUGUCAGGUUAAGUCCUAUAACGAGCGCAACCCCUGUUGUUAGUUGCCAGCGAGUCAUGUCGGGAACUCUAACAAGACUGCCAGUGCAAACUGUGAGGAAGGUGGGGAUGACGUCAAAUCAUCACGGCCCUUACGCCUUGGGC